CGGCGGACGGGUGAGUAACGCGUGGGUAACCUGCCUCAUACAGGGGGAUAACAGUUAGAAAUGACUGCUAAUACCGCAUAAGACCACAGCACUGCAUGGUGCAGUGGUAAAAACUCCGGUGGUAUGAGAUGGACCCGCGUCUGAUUAGUUAGUUGGCGGGGUAACGGCCCACCAAGGCGACGAUCAGUAGCCGGCCUGAGAGGGUGAACGGCCACAUUGGGACUGAGACACGGCCCAAACUCCUACGGGAGGCAGCAG
RNAcentral lists this ribosomal RNA (258 nucleotides) under uncultured bacterium. RNAcentral describes it as "partial 16S ribosomal RNA". It matches the Rfam family "Bacterial small subunit ribosomal RNA", at positions 96 to 354 of the family's 1533-position model. The record is from RNAcentral.